Long non-coding RNA from Tympanuchus pallidicinctus (lesser prairie-chicken), 4106 nucleotides. RefSeq lists it as uncharacterized. Lineage: Eukaryota; Metazoa; Chordata; Aves; Galliformes; Phasianidae. The transcript has 6 exons. The record is from RefSeq and is a predicted model, not a curated record.
GACCAAAACAUUUAAACAUUGUGAAGUUUGAAGACUCCUUCAGAGGCUCAAGCUUAUCCUGUGAAGUCGGCAACUCUGUGCCCAGCUACAUUGCUGCUUGUCUGAAUCCCAGUGCGUGUACUCAGUGUGAGCCAUUAAUUUCAGUGGGCUGCAUGCAUAUGUCUCAAGUGCUUUGUUAAAGUAGAAUCAAUAUAAGCAUACGCCAAAAUGUCUUUCAUUAUUACAGUUGGGGAACAGACUGCUAUUACGGUUCAAAACAUGAAAGAUACAAUAGACAUAUAUGAUUAGGCAAUGAAAUAUGCCUUUAAUAAGCAUAGUGCAGACAGUUUGUUUUGCAGUAAGUAACCUUAUAUAAAAUUCAUUGACUUUUUCAUUCUUUCAGAUCUAUAUGCUCCCUUUUAAGAGAGGUUUUUUAGUUUUAUGCACAAAGUUUUCCUGAUGUUCUUCCAGGAGAAAGGCUGGAGUUGCAUGCAUUUAUUCUAGUGCCAAACCUGAAUUUUACUAGGAAAGGAGGAAGCAUAAGAGCAGACCUUUCUCGUGCUAGGGAGACGGGGUGGGGUAGAGUGUUUGUUUUCUGGGGCAGCAUGAAACAGAUUUGGUUUAAUUACUCUGUCUAUAAAAUAGAAAAUUCUGUCCACUGCAUGUCAAAAAGCUAAUUAUGUUUCUGUUGUGGCACUCAAAGUCAAUACUGUCAGCUCUUCUUAGUUCUAAUCCUUUACAUUGAAUUUUGAUGGGCCAGGUGAAAUAUUCCCUUCAGCACCUUAUUGCAAUUCUUGUCAAUCAUCUUGCCAUGAAAAUAUGCAUAUUGCAAAGACUUUGGCAACGCUGCAUCUGAUUUCAGUCUUUAAUCUCGUAUGUGCCUUAAAAAAACACCAUGCCAACUGCUGGCGUUCUGUUUGGGAUGUGAAUAGGAUUCUGUUUGCUAUGGGGAAACAAAGAAAAUGAUCAAAUCUUUAAAGAAUAAAAUGGGACUCCUAGGCUUUCUUAGGCUUAACAUUGUACCACUGGAAAGAAAACAGUUAGGAUGGUGAGCUGGUGCACAAAUUAAUCGAUGCAUCCACAUUCAUCGUGUGGAUGUAAAAUGUCUCCUUUCAAGCACUGCUGGAGUGAGGAAGGUUGUCUUAUUUUCCCUGCAGAUUUUCUUUGCGAGGGGCGCCGUUAAGUAACGUCCAAACACGGUUCGUGAGUUAACUGUAUGUGCUGCUUUGUUUGCUGUCGUUUCUUACAGACUAGAUCUAGCACACCUAAAAUUUUCCAGUUCUACAAUGGAAAAUUAGCAUCAUCUCUAAGAAUCUGGAAUAGAAACUAGUAAGGCACAUUUCCAGAAUCCAAUUGCAUCAGUCAGAUUGGUGUAGUAUGAAGAGAAAAGCGAAUAUUCCCUGGGGCGAUUGUGUGAAAUGGAGACCAGUCUUGUUUGAACAAGGUGCUUUGCAUUGUUAGCUAGGAAUAGAGGUACUGGGAGCUGCAGCCUGUUGGAACCAGCAUCUCCAAGGAAGGGGUGGGGGGAAUUUUUUCCAGGCUAAAAUCUCAGCAUUUUGUGAUCGAGUUUAUCUGAUGUAUUAAAGCAUUAAGUCAGGGAAACCCUCAGUGCUCUGCAAAAGAUGAACUGUAAACGUCCUUACUGUUUUUGUCCCUCUUCCCCCAUUCUCUUUCAGAGAACAUGAAGAACAGGACUGUUGUGGGAUAUUUUCCUAUCCUUCUUACCCUUAGCGUAAAGCAAGAGGGUGAAGAGGAAGUGCAUUAAUUUUCACAUGAAGGCAAGUUGUACAAACACAGCUGAAAACAUCAGAAAACACAGGCAUUUUCCUUAGAGAAAUGGAAUCGAUGAACGUUCUACUGAAAAGACUGCUAAGUAAUUGGGAAGAUGUUGAGCCAUUAACCAAGCUUGGGAGGAGGAGUAUGCAGUUCAAAGGUCAAAUGUAUGAAAGCAAAGCCUGCUUAAUAUACCAAGAGCUCUUUGUAAAUUUGAUUCUAACUUGAGAAGUUAGAGAGCUGUGAAGGGCCCUUCCAAACACUUCCAUUUUGUUUUCUGAGGGUUGAGUCUGCAGUGACGCAAUUUUACUGGCACAGAACUUGGAAGAUGUUGUACCAGAACAAAACAAAGUGUGUCUGGAAGCAUCUUGUCCUAAAAACCGUUUGCGGGCAGUACAGAUUUCCUUAUGGAGGCUGUCUCAGGUACUGUGCGAGGCUUGGCACGCAGACACAACCAGAAAUGCAGGCGAGACUUCGUGGAGCAAAGUGUCCAAGUGCUGAGUGAGCGCCCAAUGGGCCAUAGCAAAAUGCGCAACCAAGUCAAAGAAGAACGGAAAAUAUUUCAUAAAAUUCAUCUCUGCAUCCCUUUUUCCUCUCUUGAUAUACGGCCUCUUACUCACAGCUGCCCGGGCCGCGGCCUGCGUGUAAAUAUGUCAGAGCAGCAAUGAGACGGAACGCGGACACAGAAAUGCCGGCGGCUGCUCGCAGAUAAAGCGCCGAGCUGAAGCCGAGGCGUUUAUUGUAAAUGGAGAUCAAGGCAAAGCAGCAACGUUUCUGUUUGACUUCAGCCUGCCAAGGUUACUCGUCCAACUCUUUUCACGACUACCAUAUGUCCACAUGCAUUUCCCCCUCCAGAAAGUGAAAUGUUACUCUUAUGACAGCUCCGUAGCCAUUGCAAGUUCCUCGAUACUUUCCAUGUGUUGUUUUGCAACAACCUGGAAACGCUGUUGGCAGAUGGGCCGGUGGGUGCGUGUGUGUGCGUGCACGGGAGAGGGAGGCUGCCAGCCUGCCGGCCGUUGGAGCCUAACACUGCUGUACCUUGACAGUAACUGCAGGGCCUGGGAAGCAUUGAUGCUCUUUUUUGUUCUUUUCAGCAGGGGGCACUGGAUCCUGUAAACAGGAAUUGGUACAUUGCAGCUCAAAGGGCCAAACAGCUUUAGCAGAUGGGGUGAUUUUUUUUUUUCCUCUUGAUACUUGUGAUGUGGAAGAGAAGUCUGUGCACCCACUGACAGAGAGGCAUCCAGCAGUAUGUGUUGCAGGUUAAUGGGAUAUAUGGACAGGAGACUUCAGCUUAAUGCCCUGGAAUCAGGACAAUUUGAGGUGUUGCCUAGCUCAGCCCUCCGACAGGAAAGGAAAGAAUAACUUGAACAUCUCUCCAGUCAUUUCCUGAUAUUUGCUGUUAGUGAGCAGAUGUAAUUCACUCCAAAAGGGACUGCCAAGUGCUCCUGCGUGUCUCAUCUACUAAGCAAGGUUGGUAGCACCAGCUCUCCGUAAGAUUUCCCUCUCCUGAGGAGAGGCUGGUGUCAGCCCCAGCUAACUCUCAGAGGCCUGACAUCAAACUGGUUGGAGUUCUGUUAGAAGUCAACUGAAAACCUGUUGCUGUUAUUAUCUGACACUGGCUGAAACAAAAGCCAAAUGUUGAUGAAUGUCUGAUCCUAAAAGUAAACAUUUUGGUUUUUUUUUUCUCUUUGCAAGUCAGGGGCCCUCUAGGGUUUUAUCUGAUUUUGGCAGUCUGUUGCACAUUUUGGGGCCUGGAGCAUGGUUUUAAUUGUUACAUCACAAAAGUUGCCAAAUAAUGUUGAAUGCUCCUUAAAAACUCUCUCAAUUUUAUGGAACUUCUCAACGGCUUGACUAAUACAAUAAUUGCUGGAACCCAGCUAUGUUGCCUAGUGGCAAAUGGAAUUUUUUCAUAAUGAUGCUGUCUGUCGUUAAUAGCAGGAUUUGUUCUUUCUCUCAGUGGGAGAGAGGCCAGAAAUCAAUGGUAUCUGUCUUUUUUAAUGACAGCUAACAGCAAACGGAUAAAAUAAUCAAUUACAUCUAUAGCUAGGUAGAUAAAGUAUAAUUUAUCAUGUCAAAAACAAAAAUGUUUUUAAUUGGGCUGUUAAUCAUUUUGUAAUUUUAACUAACGAGAUGAGGGCACUAUUUUACUAAUAUUUUGUACAAUAUUAACUGAUCUUAUAAUAGUUUUAAUAGCAGUGUUUACUACUAUCUGCCAAAAUAAGAAACACCAUUUCUGCUUUCAUUAGCUGAAGCCUUUGCAGUUACAAAGGGCUGCCAUUCUCCUUCAUUUUUCUCCCACUGGAAGGAUCCAGGUGAAGAAAAGGGUCUGGCUCACGAACCAGCUCUGAGUUUCU